GACGAACGCUGGCGGCGUGCUUAACACAUGCAAGUCAGGGGGUGGGGCGAACCCAUCACCGGCGAACGGGUGCGUAACACGUGAGCGACCUGCCCUGGUGUGGGGGAGUAGCCGGCCCAACGGCCGGGUAAUACCGCAUACGACACGGCCCGGGCAUCCGGGCGGUGUGAAGCCUUUUGGGCACUAGGAGGGGCUCGCGGCCUAUCAGCUAGUUGGCGAGGUAACGGCUCACCAAGGCGAUGACGGGUAGCUGGUCUGAGAGGAUGGCCAGCCACAUUGGGACUGAGACACGGCCCAAACUCCUACGGGAGGCAGCAGUGGGGAAUAUUGGACAAUGGGCGCAAGCCUGAUCCAGCCAUGCCGCGUGAGUGAUGAAGGCCCUAGGGUUGUAAAGCUCUUUUGUGCGGGAAGAUAAUGACGGUACCGCAAGAAUAACGCCCCGGCUAACUUCGUGCCAGCAGCCGCCGU
This 468-nucleotide ribosomal RNA is filed under the name uncultured bacterium. RNAcentral describes it as "bacterial SSU rRNA". It matches the Rfam family "Bacterial small subunit ribosomal RNA", at positions 28 to 521 of the family's 1533-position model. The record is from RNAcentral.